RNAcentral lists this ribosomal RNA (950 nucleotides) under Vibrio sp. BBT64. RNAcentral's name for it is "bacterial SSU rRNA". It matches the Rfam family "Bacterial small subunit ribosomal RNA", at positions 43 to 951 of the family's 1533-position model. The record is from RNAcentral. Lineage: Bacteria; Pseudomonadati; Pseudomonadota; Gammaproteobacteria; Vibrionales; Vibrionaceae.
AGGGUGGGAGCGGAUACGAGUUAUCUGAACCUUCGGGGAACGAUAACGGCGUCGAGCGGCGGACGGGUGAGUAAUGCCUAGGAAAUUGCCCUGAUGUGGGGGAUAACCAUUGGAAACGAUGGCUAAUACCGCAUGAUGCCUACGGGCCAAAGAGGGGGACCUUCGGGCCUCUCGCGUCAGGAUAUGCCUAGGUGGGAUUAGCUAGUUGGUGAGGUAAGGGCUCACCAAGGCGACGAUCCCUAGCUGGUCUGAGAGGAUGAUCAGCCACACUGGAACUGAGACACGGUCCAGACUCCUACGGGAGGCAGCAGUGGGGAAUAUUGCACAAUGGGCGCAAGCCUGAUGCAGCCAUGCCGCGUGUGUGAAGAAGGCCUUCGGGUUGUAAAGCACUUUCAGUCGUGAGGAAGGUAGUGUAGUUAAUAGCUGCAUUACUUGACGUUAGCGACAGAAGAAGCACCGGCUAACUCCGUGCCAGCAGCCGCGGUAAUACGGAGGGUGCGAGCGUUAAUCGGAAUUACUGGGCGUAAAGCGCAUGCAGGGUGGUUUGUUUAAGUCAGAUGUGAAAAGCCCGGGGCUCACCUCGGAAUAAGCAUUUUGAAACUGGCAGACUAGAGUACUGUAGAGGGGGGGUAAGAAUUUUCAGGUUGUAGCGGUGAAAUGCGUAAGAGGAUCUGAAGGGAAUACCGGUUGGCGAAGGGCGGCCCCCCUGGACAGAAUACCUGACAACUCAGAAUGCCGAAAAGCCGUGGGGGAAGCAAACCAGGAUUAAAAUACCCCUGGGUAGUCCCACCGCCCGUAAAACGAUGUCUACCUUGGAAGGUGUGCCUUGAGCCCGUGGCCUUUCCGGAGCUAACCGCGUUAAGUAAGACCGCCUGGGGAGUACGGUCCGCAAGAUUAAAACUCAAAUGAAUUGACGGGGCCCGCACAGCGGUGGAGCAUGUGGUUUAGUC